Molecule: transfer RNA, 69 nt
Filed under: Pseudhymenochirus merlini (Merlin's clawed frog)
Lineage: Eukaryota; Metazoa; Chordata; Amphibia; Anura; Pipidae
Description: tRNA-Thr
Rfam family: tRNA
About the family: Transfer RNA (tRNA) molecules are approximately 80 nucleotides in length.
Source: RNAcentral
GUCUUGAUAGCUUAAAUAAAGCAUCGGCCUCGUAAGCCGAAGAGUGGAGGUUAGCCGCUCCUCAAGACA